GUGCCAGCACCGCGGUAAUACCGGCAGCCCGGGUGAUGGCCGCUAUUAUUGGGCCUAAAGCGUCCGUAGCUGGCCGAACAAGUCCGUCGGGAAAUCCACUCGCUCAACGAGUGGGCGUCCGACGGAAACUGCACAGCUUGGGACCGGAAGGCUCGAAGGGUACGUUCGGGGUAGGAGUGAAAUCCCAUAAUCCCGCACGGACCACCGAUGGCGAAAGCACUUCGAGAAAACGGAUCCGACAGUGAGGGACGAAAGCCAGGGUCUCCAACCGGAUUAGAUACCCUAGUAGUCC
Molecule: ribosomal RNA, 292 nt
Filed under: uncultured bacterium
Lineage: Bacteria
Description: partial 16S ribosomal RNA
Rfam family: Archaeal small subunit ribosomal RNA
Source: RNAcentral